RNAcentral lists this ribosomal RNA (245 nucleotides) under uncultured Ktedonobacter sp. RNAcentral describes it as "partial 16S ribosomal RNA". It matches the Rfam family "Bacterial small subunit ribosomal RNA", at positions 524 to 768 of the family's 1533-position model. The record is from RNAcentral. Lineage: Bacteria; Bacillati; Chloroflexota; Ktedonobacteria; Ktedonobacterales; Ktedonobacteraceae.
UACGUAGGGGGCAAGCGUUGUCCGGAUUUAUUGGGCGUAAAGGGCGCGCAGGCGGUUGGGUAAGUUUGGAGUGACAGUGCUCGGCUUAACUGAGCAAGGCCUCUGAAAACUGCUUGACUUGAGGACCAGAGAGGGACAUAGAAUUCCGGGUGGAGUGGUGAAAUGCGUAGAUAUCCGGAGGAAUACCAAAGGCGAAGGCAGUGUCCUGGAUGGUAACUGACGCUGAGGCGCGAAAGCUAGGGGAG